GUUGUGUGAGACUGGCUGAAAUAGCUGUGUGAAAAGCAGAAUCCUAAAUGAAGCUUCUUCAGUUAGGAUCUAUUGUCUGCAAGUCUCAUUAGUAUUAAAACACUUUUUGUGCAUUGGUCUGUAACAAAAUCUCUCUCUUAUGGCACUGGCUGUUGCUUUAGGAAGUGGUGCUGGAACUAAAGAAAGAUAGCUCGAUCCCCGCGUGGAGCACUGGGAGGCUUAUGAUGGAAAUGUGCUCCUUACAGAGCUUGAGUAGGAAGCUGGACCAGGUGACCUCCAGAGGCCCAUCAGUCCUUCUCUGAUUCUGUGAACUGAUGAGCUCAAAGAAUGCACUCCAACUUAAUUGCCAGGCUGGCUGAUUACAAAGAAAAGAAUGGGCUCCACACAAGGGCAUCUGAUUGGAUUGGAAUCUCGUGUGCAAGGGGGCAGGAAUAAGAGGCACUCAAGCUGUGGACUGCAAUGAGGCAGAAACCAGCAGUUGUGACAAUGUCUUGGCAAGCAGGAAGCUGCUAAAGAAGACAGUGCGUGACUAAAAAAGGAUGAGGGGCCAUAGAGCACAGCCAUUGGCUGACAGUCUCCAAAAAAGCCCAGAACAAAGCCUUGUAGCUUAAAAUCUCAAGACUAGUUAAUGGAUGCAACCUUACAACAGAAGGAUGACUGUCUGACGUGAUCCCUCAAACACGUGUCACCAUGUCAAGACAUACCCCAUUUUGGUGACAGAAAGGAAGCAGUGGAAAGUGUGAAAACAACAGGACAUACUGCAGCAUACAAGGACCUAUUUACCUGGACCUGAGCAAGGCCUUUGACA
This is a non-coding RNA of Coturnix japonica (Japanese quail), 808 nucleotides long. Lineage: Eukaryota; Metazoa; Chordata; Aves; Galliformes; Phasianidae. The record is from RefSeq and is a predicted model, not a curated record.